UCUGGUUGAUCUCUGCCAGUAGUCAUAUGCUUGUCUCAAAGAUUAAGCCAUGCAUGUCUAAGUACGGCUCUAGUACGGUGAAACUGCGAAUGGCUCAUUAAAUCAGUUUUGGUUCAUUUGAUCGUGAAAGUUACAUGGAUAACUGUUGUAAUUCAAGAGCUAAUACACGCUAAGAGUGUCGCUCUCUGGGCGGCGCGCUUUUAUCAGACCAAAACCAAUCACCUUCGGGUGUUCAUUGUGGUGAGUCUGGAUAAACUAGCUGAUCGCAUGGUCUCGAACCGGCGAUGGAUCAUUCAAGUGUCUGACCUAUCAACUGUCGAUGGUAGCGUAUUGGGCUACCAUGGUUGUAACGGGUAACGGAGAAUUAGGGUUUGGUUCCGGAGAGGGAGUCUGAGAAACGGCUACCACAUCUAAGGAAGGCAGCAGGCGCGCAAAUUACCCAUUCCCGACUCGGGGAGGUAGUGACGAAAAAUAACAAUUCAAGACUCUUAACGAGGCCUUGAGAGUUGGAAUGAGUACACUUUAAAACUUUUAACGAGUAACUAUUGGAGGGCAAGUCUGGUCCCCCGU
Molecule: ribosomal RNA, 570 nt
Filed under: eukaryotic picoplankton environmental sample
Lineage: Eukaryota
Description: SSU rRNA
Rfam family: Eukaryotic small subunit ribosomal RNA
Source: RNAcentral